UACAGAGGUGGCAAGCGUUGUUCGGAAUUACUGGGCGUAAAGGGCGCGUAGGCGGCCAUCUAAGUCAGACGUGAAAUCCCCCGGCUUAACCUGGGAACUGCGUCUGAUACUGGAAGGCUUGAGUAUGGGAGAGGGAUGUAGAAUUCCAGGUGUAGCGGUGAAAUGCGUAGAUAUCAGGAGGAACACCGGUGGCGAAGGCGCUCAUCUGGCCCAAUACUGACGCUGAGGCGCGAAAGCUAGGGGAGCAAACGGG
RNAcentral lists this ribosomal RNA (253 nucleotides) under uncultured bacterium. Its description in RNAcentral is "partial 16S ribosomal RNA". It matches the Rfam family "Bacterial small subunit ribosomal RNA", at positions 524 to 776 of the family's 1533-position model. The record is from RNAcentral.